This 221-nucleotide ribosomal RNA is filed under the name uncultured bacterium. RNAcentral describes it as "partial 16S ribosomal RNA". It matches the Rfam family "Bacterial small subunit ribosomal RNA", at positions 114 to 334 of the family's 1533-position model. The record is from RNAcentral.
CACGUAGUCAACCUUCCCGAUAUGGGGGAUAACUAGCCGAAAGGUUAGCUAAUACCGCAUACGAUCUUCGAGUGGCAUCACUUGAAGAUGAAAGGAGCAAUCCGCUUUCGGACGGGACUGCGUCCCAUUAGCUAGAUGGUGGGGUAAUGGCCUACCAUGGCUUCGAUGGGUAGCUGGUUUGAGAGAGCGACCAGCCACACUGGGACUGAGAAACGGCCCAG